GACGAACGCUGGCGGCGUGCCUAAUACAUGCAAGUUGAGCGAUGAAGCUUGGUGCUUGCACCAAUUUGAAGAGCAGCGAACGGGUGAGUAACGCGUGGGGAAUCUGCCUUUGAGCGGGGGACAACAUUUGGAAACGAAUGCUAAUACCGCAUAAUAACUUUAAACAUAAGUUUUAAGUUUGAAAGAUGCAAUUGCAUCACUCAAAGAUGAUCCCGCGUUGUAUUAGCUAGUUGGUGAGGUAAAGGCUCACCAAGGCGAUGAUACAUAGCCGACCUGAGAGGGUGAUCGGCCACAUUGGGACUGGGACACGGCCCAAACUCCUACGGGAGGCAGCAGUAGGGAAUCUUCGGCAAUGGACGAAAGUCUGACCGAGCAACGCCGCGUGAGUGAAGAAGGUUUUCGGAUCGUAAAAAUCUGUUGGUAGAGAAGAACGUUGGUGAGAGUGGAAAGCUCAUCAAGUGACGGUAACUACCCAGAAAGGGACGGCUAACUACGUG
This 497-nucleotide ribosomal RNA is filed under the name uncultured bacterium. Its description in RNAcentral is "partial 16S ribosomal RNA". It matches the Rfam family "Bacterial small subunit ribosomal RNA", at positions 28 to 507 of the family's 1533-position model. The record is from RNAcentral.